AUGCUCGCUUUGGCAGCAUAUAUACUAAAAUUGAAGCAAUACAGAAGAUUAGCAUGGUCCCUGCACAAGGAUGACACGCAAAUUCCUGAAGCAUUCCAGAUUUAA
Molecule: small nuclear RNA, 105 nt
Organism: Callorhinus ursinus (northern fur seal)
Lineage: Eukaryota; Metazoa; Chordata; Mammalia; Carnivora; Otariidae
Source: RefSeq, a predicted model, not a curated record